RNAcentral lists this small nuclear RNA (350 nucleotides) under Castor canadensis (American beaver). RNAcentral's name for it is "7SK RNA (ENSCCNG00000015635.1)". The stretch from base 1 to 306 matches the Rfam family "7SK RNA". From Rfam's summary of the family: 7SK was discovered as an abundant small nuclear RNA in the mid-70s but a possible function has only recently been suggested. Two independent studies have found that 7SK RNA binds the CDK9/cyclin T complex (known as elongation factor P-TEFb). P-TEFb activates transcription by phosphorylating the C-terminal domain of RNA polymerase II. Lineage: Eukaryota; Metazoa; Chordata; Mammalia; Rodentia; Castoridae. The record is from RNAcentral.
GAGUGUGAAGGCAGUCUCGCUGUGACAUCUGUCAUCCUGUUGAUCAACGGGGUUGAUUCACUGAUCUAGCUGACUAAGCCAGUGUCCCCUUCCUCCCUCACUGCUCCAUGCAAUAUCCCUUGCAAAGCUUUGAGCUGUGGAUGAGGAUGACCUUUCUGAUAGAGGAGGACCAUUCUUUGGUCAAAGGUAUAUGAGUAGCUACACUCCCCUAUUAGACCCUCCACACAAGGCCAACGUUCCCAGGUCUGCACUCUUAUGUUCAAGUCCCUCUAUCGUGACUGGGAGAGCACCAGGUCCACGGACAGAGUACCAUGGGCUUCCCUCUAACAACUGGACUUCUGUCCACAGGU